AGUGGGAUAACUGGGUCAAAUGGUGGAUCAAUUUCUAGUUUUUUGAGGAAUCUUCAUACUGUUUUCCAGAGUGGUUGUAGCAAUUUGUAGUCCCACCAAUAAU
This 103-nucleotide microRNA precursor is filed under the name Marmota monax (woodchuck). Lineage: Eukaryota; Metazoa; Chordata; Mammalia; Rodentia; Sciuridae. The record is from RNAcentral.